Non-coding RNA from Hordeum vulgare subsp. vulgare (domesticated barley), 69 nucleotides. NCBI's taxonomy places the organism in Eukaryota, Viridiplantae, Streptophyta, Magnoliopsida, Poales, Poaceae. The record is from Rfam.
UUGAAAGAGUCGGUCUUGAAAACCGAAGUAUUGAUAGGAAUACCGGGGGUUCGAAUCCCUCUCCAUCCG